This 253-nucleotide ribosomal RNA is filed under the name uncultured bacterium. Its description in RNAcentral is "partial 16S ribosomal RNA". It matches the Rfam family "Bacterial small subunit ribosomal RNA", at positions 524 to 776 of the family's 1533-position model. The record is from RNAcentral.
UACGAAGGGGGCUAGCGUUGCUCGGAAUCACUGGGCGUAAAGGGUGCGUAGGCGGUCUGAUAAGUCAUCUGUGAAAUCUAUGGGCUCAACCCAUAGUCUGCAGGCGAAACUGUCGGGCUUGAGUAUGGGAGAGGUGAGUGGAAUUUCCGGUGUAGCGGUGAAAUGCGUAGAUAUCGGAAGGAACACCUGUGGCGAAAGCGGCUCACUGGACCAUUACUGACGCUGAUGCACGAAAGCUAGGGGAGCAAACAGG